RNAcentral lists this unclassified non-coding RNA (283 nucleotides) under Hevea brasiliensis (rubber tree). Lineage: Eukaryota; Viridiplantae; Streptophyta; Magnoliopsida; Malpighiales; Euphorbiaceae. The record is from RNAcentral.
GCCUAAUGCUAUAACAAAGAUUGUAAGAAGAGAUUACAGAAAUGGAAUUUCUACUAACAAAAUCGUCUUUGCCACUCAAGAUAUACAACUCUUCAUACUUGUAGAGUAUCCAAGCCCGUGUGGGGGUAAAUAAGCUUCGUAUUCCACUAUUCCUCCUAUAAAAUAAAACAGCCUGAGGAGGGCCUUCAUCAAAGAAUGACUUCUAUGGUACAUUAAUCUGCUAACAAGUGUGAUGUUAUGUUGCCUCAAUGGCCUCUUCCACCUGUGGCUGGCGCUUAGGUCG